Molecule: long non-coding RNA, 846 nt
Organism: Haliotis rufescens (red abalone)
Lineage: Eukaryota; Metazoa; Mollusca; Gastropoda; Lepetellida; Haliotidae
Exons: 2
Source: RefSeq, a predicted model, not a curated record
GGAAUAUUGAAGAGUAUUUAUUGUUAUGAAAACACCCACUAAACUUGGCCUAGGUUGAGUGGAACAAAUGACGUGACCUUACACAAAAUGGCGGCGGAUGAUGAUGAUGCAUGACGUGGUCAUGUGACCAGCUGGUGAUACACCGACGGGAUCUACGUCCACGUCGAUAACAUGGAGGAGGGGGCAAUUGAUUUCUUGCUUGUGGUCUAAGAAACUGUCGUGGAGGAGAAGACAGUCACCCCUAGUCCAAUUUACACUCAUUCCGCCCGAGGCGGCCAUCUUUGACAACCAUCUUUGACGACCAUCUUUGCCGACCGUCUUUGCCAACCGUCUUUGACAACCGUCUUUGACGACCUUCUUUGACAACAGUCUUUGACAACCAUCUUUGACGUCCUUCUUUGACGAUCAUAUUUGACAACUAUCUUUGAGGACCAUCAUGUCACCCGCUGCUGUUUUCUGAGGACAUCAUAAAGGAUGAUAAUCUGAGUGUAAGAUGCCUUGGCCAUCGCUGACUGUUCUCAUAGGUUCCAUACCUGAAUUGGAAUUUUCAUUUUGCGAUUUGGCAAAUUGUAUUAUAAUCAAAGUUUGUUCACUCUUUUGUGAAGGUGUUAAGAUGCAAUUGUAUAGUUCCCUGUUUAAUGAUGCGGUUGGGUGUAGUGUACAUAUAUAUAUAUACUGCCUCCGCUUGUGUCCCCCUCACUGGGCUAUUUGAGCAUUUCUCUGGCUAUUUCCCGGUUCGGCACAGGACAUCUAUGGCAAAAUUAUUUAGAAGUAUUCGCUUAUGCACGGUCACUUGCAGGGUCUUCGUUCACCUUGAGAAAGAAAUAAUAAAAUGAUUUAGAACUA